GCCACGCCAGCAUGUGAAUGAAACAGACAGUGGCAGAACUCCUAGGCAACCUUUACAUAAUCCUCCCUGUGCUGUCUCCUUCUUGGGCACACCGUUACCCUACUGGAGCAGGAUAUGAGGUAAGGGAAAAGAGCAGAAGAAUAAUCUAAGCUGUGGAAUAUGAAAGGAAGGAAUAGGAGGGAAAAAGAGGAAGGAGGGAGAGUGGAGCAAGAAGUCAGUGUUUGUUUAAGGUUUGUCAUACCCCGAGGGCUGUGCUAGAUGCUUUAGACAUGUGAUCUCCUUUCAUUCUGUGUGUGUGCGCGCGCGCGCGCGCGCGUGUAAUGUGAGAACCUCCUUAGCAAGUACUUCGUGAGCUCUCUUUGGAGAGUAAAUGGAUAUUUUGGAGAUGGGAGAAGAUAUACUCAUUCUCAGGUGUUUUGUACUGUUGCUUCCCAGUUGUUGGCAGGAACAUUUAAUGAUACUCUUGGAUCUCAAGUAUCGGUUUUAAAAUAAUAGUGGUAGUAGUAACAUAUUUAUUCUCACUUCAGAUUUAACUGCAAGUGAAAGAGAGACUGAGAAUUAAUUGUACCCAUCAAUUCAUUGUCAGUCUUGGAAAGAAUUCAGCUAGAGCCCACAAUGUGUAAAGAAGUGUACUUGGUACUGCUGUAGGUACACAUAGUUACCAUAUGCAUGAGUGCCAGAAUCCAUUUUAAUAGAUCUAAAAUCUGUAUUUCUGAAAAUAAAGUUAACUACGUAGUCUGGGAAGUGCAGCACUGAGGAAAUGAAAUUUGAUCAGGGUAUUGAUGAUGGCAUAUAGAUGGACAGAGCAGAGAGAAGGAAAGCACUCCAGUCAGACAGAGGAAAACCCAAUUCCAAAGUUGGUGGAGAUGCUUUGGCAAGGCUAGUUUAGAAUCACUUGGGAAGGAUGGGUCUGUGCUAUAGUCUACAUUUAAAAAUGUACCAAGUCAAUGUAGCAAGCUCAUUAUUAUUUUCUAAAUGUGACUUUAUAAUACAGAACCCAGUAAGGGUAAUUUCUUAUUUGCUCUUUACAGAAGAAGUAGCACUGAAGCAAAGGCUUACAAGUUGCGAGUCAGCUACUGUCUUCCACUUUAUGUCUUGGCUUUUUUCUACUAUGAAAAUGGCUUCCAAGUACCUGGCAGUUCUACCAGCUCCAAGCUUCUGGAACCCAUCUGGGCAAUAAAACAGUUGCAAGUUUGGCCAGAAGGAUCAGGCAAGGAAAUUUUCUAGGAAACUUAUGAUGUCAUACCACAAGAAAGAUAUGUGUCUGCAUUUAAAG
This 1276-nucleotide long non-coding RNA is filed under the name Sus scrofa (pig). RNAcentral describes it as "lncRNA (ENSSSCG00030049959.1)". The record is from RNAcentral. Lineage: Eukaryota; Metazoa; Chordata; Mammalia; Artiodactyla; Suidae.